RNAcentral lists this ribosomal RNA (497 nucleotides) under uncultured bacterium. RNAcentral describes it as "partial 16S ribosomal RNA". It matches the Rfam family "Bacterial small subunit ribosomal RNA", at positions 28 to 507 of the family's 1533-position model. The record is from RNAcentral.
GAUGAACGCUGGCGGCGUGCCUAAUACAUGCAAGUCGAGCGAACGGACGAGAAGCUUGCUUCUCUGAUGUUAGCGGCGGACGGGGGAGUAAAACGUGGAUAACCUACCUAUAAGACUGGGAUAACUUCGGGGAACCGUAGCUAAUACCGGAUAAUAUUUUGAACCGCAUGGUUCAAAAGUGAAAGACGGUCUUGCUGUAACUUAUAGAUGGAUCCGCGCUGCAUUAGCUAGUUGGUAAGGUAACGGCUUACCAAGGCAACGAUGCAUAGCCGACCUGAGAGGGUGAUCGGCCACACUGGAACUGAGACACGGUCCAGACUCCUACGGGAGGCAGCAGUAGGGAAUCUUCCGCAAUGGGCGAAAGCCUGACGGAGCAACGCCGCGUGAGUGAUGAAGGUCUUCGGAUCGUAAAACUCUGUUAUUAGGGAAGAACAUAUGUGUAAGUAACUGUGCACAUCUUGACGGUACCUAAUCAGAAAGCCACGGCUAACUACGUG